UUUGUUUAAAACUCAUUACAAGCCAAGAAGUGAAAACAAUGUUAUCACCCUAUUCAAAGGGUCGAAAAAGUCUUGUUUGGAGUUGUGUGAGGUUGAAUAAUUAUGUUUGUAAUAUUUCAGAAGUUGGCAGAAAAAGAAAAGAAAAAUAGAAAAAGAAAAUAUAAAAGAAAAAAAAUGAAUGGAAAAAAUAGAAGGAUGUCAAUACAUACUCCUUCUGAAAAAGAAAAAAGAAAAAAAAAAGAGAGAAAGGAGAAGAGAAAAUAGUUUCUAUAAAGUUGUUGUUGAAGUGAAUGAAAUAUUUUGUAAAUUGUACUCCCGCGGUUUCUUUCAAGUCUCUUUUGUCUCUUUGAAUUUUAGCCUAGUACCCCCUUAAG
RNAcentral lists this long non-coding RNA (374 nucleotides) under Lathyrus oleraceus (garden pea). RNAcentral's name for it is "Pisum sativum (pea) long non-coding RNA (PSAT_LNC003237)". The record is from RNAcentral. Lineage: Eukaryota; Viridiplantae; Streptophyta; Magnoliopsida; Fabales; Fabaceae.